Molecule: ribosomal RNA, 408 nt
Filed under: uncultured bacterium
Lineage: Bacteria
Description: partial 16S ribosomal RNA
Rfam family: Bacterial small subunit ribosomal RNA
Source: RNAcentral
GACGAACGCUGGCGGCGUGCUUAACACAUGCAAGUCGAACGAAGUGGCGAAGGGGAGAGUAACGUGUAAACAACCUGCCCUUCAGAGGGGGACAACAGUUGGAAACGACUGCUAAUACAGCAUACUGAAGGAGGGGAUUGCGUCUGAUUGGCUAGUUGGUGGGGUAACGGCCCACCAAGGCGAUGAUCAGUAGCCGGUCUGAGAGGAUGAACGGCCACAUUGGGACUGAGACACGGGCCAGGCUCCUACGGGAGGCAGCAGUGGGGAAACUUCCGCAAUGGACGAAAGUCUGACUGAGCAACGCCGCGUGAGUUAUGACGGCCUUCGGGUUGUAAAGCUCUGUUAAUCGGGACGCGGUACCGGAAUAGAAAGCCACGGCUAACUACGUGCCAGCAGCCGCGGUAAUUC